AUUGAACGCUGGCGGCAUGCCUUACACAUGCAAGUCGAACGGCAGCGGGGGAGAAGCUUGCUUUUCCUGCCGGCGAGUGGCGAACGGGUGAGUAAUACAUAGGAACGUGCCCUGUAGUGGGGGAUAACUAGUCGAAAGAUUAGCUAAUGCCGCAUACGACCUGAGGGUGAAAGUGGGGGACCGCAAGGCCUCAUGCUAUAGGAGCGGCCGAUGUCGGAUGAGCUAGUUGGUGGGGUAAAGGCCUACCAAGGCGACGAUCAGUAGCUGGGCUGGGAGGACGAUCAGCCACACUGGGACUGAGACACGGCCCAGACUCCUACGGGAGGCAGCAGUGGGGAAUUUUGGACAAUGGGCGAAAGCCUGAUCCAGCAAUGCCGCGUGCAGGAAGAAGGCCUUCGGGUUGUAAACUUCUUUUGUACGGAGCGAAAAGGCUUUCUCUAAUACAUGAGGCUGAUGACGGUACCGUAAGAAUAAGCACCGGCUAACUACGUGCCAGCCGCCGCAGUAA
This 508-nucleotide ribosomal RNA is filed under the name uncultured bacterium. Its description in RNAcentral is "partial 16S ribosomal RNA". It matches the Rfam family "Bacterial small subunit ribosomal RNA", at positions 30 to 523 of the family's 1533-position model. The record is from RNAcentral.